GGGUUGUGAGGUUAAGCGACUAAGCGUACACGGUGGAUGCCCUGGCAGUCAGAGGCGAUGAAGGGCGUGCUAAUCUGCGAUAAGCGCCGGUAAGGUGAUAUGAACCGUUAUAACCGGCGAUACCCGAAUGGGGAAACCCAGUGUGACUCGUCACACUAUCAUUAACUGAAUCCAUAGGUUAAUGAGGCGAACCGGGGGAACUGAAACAUCUAAGUACCCCGAGGAAAAGAAAUCAACCGAGAUUCCCCCAGUAGCGGCGAGCGAACGGGGAGGAGCCCAGAGCCUGAAUCAGCAUGUGUGUUAGUGGAAGUGUCUG
Molecule: ribosomal RNA, 316 nt
Filed under: Salmonella enterica subsp. enterica serovar Agama
Lineage: Bacteria; Pseudomonadati; Pseudomonadota; Gammaproteobacteria; Enterobacterales; Enterobacteriaceae
Description: partial 23S ribosomal RNA
Rfam family: Bacterial large subunit ribosomal RNA
Source: RNAcentral